AAAGGGUCCGUAGGCGGUUUGAUAAGUCAGUGGUGAAAGCCCAUCGCUCAACGAUGGAACGGCCAUUGAUACUGUCAGACUUGAAUUAUUAGGAAGUAACUAGAAUAUGUAGUGUAGCGGUGAAAUGCUUAGAUAUUACAUGGAAUACCAAUUGCGAAGGCAGGUUACUACUAAUGGAUUGACGCUGAUGGACGAAAGCGUGGGGAGCGAACAGGAUUAGAUACCCCAGU
This 230-nucleotide ribosomal RNA is filed under the name uncultured bacterium. RNAcentral describes it as "partial 16S ribosomal RNA". It matches the Rfam family "Bacterial small subunit ribosomal RNA", at positions 562 to 791 of the family's 1533-position model. The record is from RNAcentral.